CUUUGUUCUGCAUAGCUACAAGGAGGAUUUACGGGGCCAAAGUCCGGUGCUAAAAGAGGGAACGCCUCAGAAAAUAAGCGCAGAGCCGCGAUGUAACCUCCAAACCCGUCCCCUAGUCAGCAGCUGCUACUGGCAACAAAACAUCACCAUUCUGUCAGCCUCUCCCUCCAAAAUAAAGGCAGCCAGGAAAUUUUGGAGGGCGUAGGGGAGGGGGGCAGACACUUUUCCUACCAGAAUCUGUGCAGUUCGUAUCCCUGAUAAAGGAAGCGACAGAUCAUGGGAGGUGCCUUGCUCCGAGGAGACUUUUCUAUCUGCUCUACUUCCCACCCUAUGGCGAGCAGCAUGACUUGACAGGUGUCACUCAUCCCUCUGAGCCUGCAGUACUUUGGAAGGGAUCCUGGAAAUGCCAAAAGCACUAAGUUUUGACAGCCAGGAGACAGGAAAAUCUCCAAGGAGCUCCUGUGUAAAACGGCAAAUAUCAGCUCAAGGAACUGGAUAUGGAUUUGAGAGACCUUGUGGAGAACUUCCGAACUAGAAGCCAGUGAAUGAAUUACAUUAAUUCACAUACGUUGUACUGUUGUUUUUUGUUUGUUUGUUUGUUUUUGGGGGGGGGUUGAUUGGUUUUGACUGUGACAAUUAUAAUAAUAUUCUGUAGUUCAAUAUGUUGUAACAUUCAUAAUUCAAGAAACAGGCCUGGCAUAAUUCAGAAAAAAAAUACUCAACGGUAUCAGUAAUCCCCUUUUGUUUAACAAUCUCCAAAGCAUGCCACAGCAUAUGUAUUACCAAGUGAAUAUAUGCUGAGAAAUCCUUUCACUCGCUGCUGAAACGUGUCCAUCAAGGAUAGAAAGAAGUAUCUGUGCAGUAAGUCACAAGAAACCCAAUUCAGCUCGCACCACACUUCUUACUGAAUUCAAUAUGAUUCAGUUUAUCCUAAGAAUCUCUCCCUCUAACUAAUCUGCUGAGACUCACCUCUUUAUCCUUUUUAUUUUUAUUUUACUUUACUUUCACCAUCUCUCUAUUGAUCUCCUCCAUUUAUUUUUUUCCUCCAGCUAGCCUUCCAUGUUUCCCCGUUCCUUAGAUGCCCUCCACCCAUUCAUGAAGCAGAAGGCAAGAUGGGAGUGUCCUGUUUACCUUUUCAAGGCCAUUACCACAUAAUGCACGUUACAGUGGUGAAACCCACAUGAUCCGCUACAUUACAAAUGCAUUCAUUCUUCAGCUGUAGGGGUGGUGAGACUAGAAUAAUGGAAACUGGGACAUUCCUGUAGCCUUGUUGCUCAGCACAUCCUUCACCACAUGCAAAGAUCUUCACAGUGGCCUCCCUGUCUUGGGGCAAAAGCCACAUGGAGAGCUGCUGCCACCAUUGCCAAGGAAAGGCAACAGCUUCUUGGAGCCCUGUGAGCUCUUGGCCUGUAUCCUUCAGCCCUCAAAAGUGGCAGAAAGAGGACUGUGAUCUGAAAAGCUGCAACAGAAAUUUAUUAAACCCUGCAGUAGAUAGAAGAUUUGUGCUUUGCUUCGCCAGCACUGGGAAGCACAUCAUUUCACACUGCUGUUCCUGCAGGGCAUCGCAGGAAGCCUCAGCCUGGUGAGGAUUGCCCCCUCACAUGCCUGCACAGCAUCUCUGUCCAGCCCUGAAUGAGCUCACGUGGCUGAGAGAUGCCAACACCUUUCCUCCCCUCCUCUUCCAAAUCACCAAUACUACCGCUGUCUGCUGUAGGAUACUGUAGGGAAAAACCUUUUGGUGUUUACUAAGUCAAAUACGUGGCUCUCUCUGGCUUGCCUUCUUAACAUUUGAGCUGUCAGGGAAACUGCAGCAUAUGUAAGCUCCUAAAAUUAUUUUCCCAUUCAAUCUCUCCCCUCAAAAAUGAAAUUGUUUAAAGCUUAUAGCUUGAGAACUGUGCUAGAUCCCCUGGCACACCUCUCAAACUGCACUUUGAGGAGCAUUGAGGAUGCUGGCACAGUUUAACUGCAAGCAUUGCUGCUUCAUCCCCUCCUUCAACUUGCAAACUGAGGGAAAGAGACAUUCCAGAUACAAGGUGACAUCCAGAGGUUGAUGUGCUGUUCACCGUGUUAAACCAUAUAGCAGGGUCCUUCAAGCAAACCGUCCAGCAUGCACACAGGUGGAGCAGCUCUACACAGAAAGCACACGGAGCCAGCCACCAACACCUGAUGAGUCCUGAGACCAAUCCAUGACCGACUGCUACGGAAAACACUCCUCAGCUUCACCCUGCAAUAAUCUAGCACAACAGUGCAAGGAAUAAUACUCUAUAGAUAGCACCGGAAAACUCAACAAAGACAAAAAUAUACCCCUCCAUAAAUCAAAACCCAAAUGCAGUAAGACCACAGCAUGGGUGUGCUUCCUCAGAGACACCACCUAAAGCCCCCAAAAUUCUAGCACGCAAAUUACACAGCCUGCGCAAUAUUAAAGCCAACAGGACAUUAAUCCCAGAAGGCAAUAUCCAAGGAGAUCUGAAGCAGCCUUUCAGUGUCUCAUAUGCUCCUGAAAUGAGAGCUGGCUAACGAGCACCACAUUUUAAUUUUUACCAAUUAAUAUUUUUAAAAAAUUUAACCAGUUAAAAGCUCACUUUGUUAAAAAAAAUAUGUAAUACUUCAAAGAUACUGAAGAAGCAAAAGGCUUUUAACCAAAAGAAAUGAGACACCAAGAGAAAACCCAGCAAACAAAAGCAAAUUAAUGAAUAAAUAGGAAAAUCAUACAUUUAGAGAACUAGGAUAGCAGGCAGGUUGUGGCCAUUUAUCAGAAGCAGAUUAUUUCCCAUGCUCACAUCCACACAACUUUUUCCAGAAUUAAAAGAGAGUUUAAAGAAUCGAUCAAAAGUCUUACGCAGUCAAUAGGAAACCACCUUUGCUGAGCUUUGCUUGAUUUACAUCAGCGGCAGGAAUUGCCACAAGAAGUCCUGAAAUGUGGUGCCAGGACUUGGCACUGCAACCCAUCUUUUCCACUGGGUGGUGGUAAUGAGAUCAAAAAGUUCAGGAGAACAAACUACAAAAGCACUCGGAACAGAGCCGGUAUUUCCUGAUUCAUUCUGUCCGUCUCUACGCAGAUACUUAUUUGUGCGUGCGUGUGAACAAGUAGACAUGGCUACAUAGCCAUACACAGCCCUGGAAGUGUGUAUGUCCAUUCCUGUUUAUGCCGCACUAAUGAGAGGAUGAGUAAAAUAGUUUCUAAAGUAUUUCAAAGCACAAAAGAAGAAUAUUAAAAUAUCUCUGGAAUGGCUGGUGCACAUUCUAUAAUUAAACACUGUUUGCUUCUUUAGUAUUCAGUUCACCAACAUAAUUUUCUCAAUGUAAAAGCUGAGCAGAGCUGGGGUGACACUGUGACACUGAUGACAGGUCAGAAAGUAGAACUAUAUUAUUCCUGAAUGAGCCAAUAUAAAUUAGAGACCCACCGGGAAAAUAACUGUGGUUAAUAUUUUAAUAAAUUUAAUUGGGUUCAACUUAUGACAUACGGUUAUGGCUUCCUUUAGCUUGUGAUCUGGAGUAGUCAGAAAAAAAAAUGAGAAUUAAAAUUCAAA
Molecule: long non-coding RNA, 3530 nt
Organism: Oxyura jamaicensis (ruddy duck)
Lineage: Eukaryota; Metazoa; Chordata; Aves; Anseriformes; Anatidae
Exons: 2
Source: RefSeq, a predicted model, not a curated record